UUUGUAAACGAGGUAGUUGCUGUGAUGUAUCGGUCUUUGACCAGAUACUUCGCAGAGGAAAGUCCGAGCACUCUUCCAUGUAAACGGAAAAAUAUCGUAGCGGGUAACACCCGUCCAUAGUAAUAUGAGAGGUGCGAGCAGUAACGGUUUUAUCUGAAAAGAUAAAACCGUCCUCCGAAGCCUUGUGCGAAGGAGGACGAACUUGGCUAUAAGGCUAUUUUCCUAAAAGGAAUGGCCCUUCUUCACUAAAGUUACGAAGGGUGACCAAAGGUCAAAGAUGAAACGGCUAAAUCCUUACGAGGGUGCAAGAUCAGCGUUGUUGCCAUAGGUGACUUCGAAAAGUUAGAUCGCUUCAGGUCAAUAGUAAUAUUGAUCGCAGAUAAAUAACUAUCCACGACAAAACUCGGCUUAUUGUUUACAAAGACU
This 426-nucleotide RNase P RNA is filed under the name Candidatus Yanofskybacteria bacterium RIFCSPHIGHO2_01_FULL_39_44. RNAcentral's name for it is "RNase P RNA component class A". It matches the Rfam family "Bacterial RNase P class A". From Rfam's summary of the family: Ribonuclease P (RNase P) is a ubiquitous endoribonuclease, found in archaea, bacteria and eukarya as well as chloroplasts and mitochondria. Its best characterised activity is the generation of mature 5'-ends of tRNAs by cleaving the 5'-leader elements of precursor-tRNAs. RNAcentral also lists the same sequence under 1 other name. The record is from RNAcentral. Lineage: Bacteria; Candidatus Yanofskyibacteriota.